RNAcentral lists this small RNA (72 nucleotides) under Gelidibacter sediminis. Its description in RNAcentral is "Flavo-1 RNA". It matches the Rfam family "Flavo-1 RNA". The record is from RNAcentral. Lineage: Bacteria; Pseudomonadati; Bacteroidota; Flavobacteriia; Flavobacteriales; Flavobacteriaceae.
UUGCGUUAAGGGUUGCAGCGGCAUCCUUUUUUCUAUUUCAGAAAAAAGAUACAGCGGAAAACCUGACCACGC